GAGGAGAGAUCAUUGAUGCAAUUAUUUUAUACUUUGAAAAAUUAGGUUAAAGAGCACACUUCAGCUCCACAGUGCCAUGAAGAAACAGAUCACUGCUGGCUACUUUCAUCCUGGUUUUACUCAAGCAAGUUACUCAAGUCAAGAAGCGUAAUUAGAUCUGCUCGCCAAGCAUCUACGUAUUUAGACACAUUAUAGAUUUUACAUAUAUCUAGUCAAACUCACACCAAAAAACAUACUGAAGCAAUACAUCGCGAUAAAGAAAAAUGAAAUGAUAAUUGACAGAUGUAUGGG
RNAcentral lists this long non-coding RNA (291 nucleotides) under Setaria viridis. RNAcentral's name for it is "long non-coding RNA (SVIR_LNC006901)". The record is from RNAcentral. Lineage: Eukaryota; Viridiplantae; Streptophyta; Magnoliopsida; Poales; Poaceae.